ACGCGUCAAGUAGAGCCUGACUACCCGCUUAAUUAAGCAUA
This 41-nucleotide ribosomal RNA is filed under the name Trichodorus primitivus. Its description in RNAcentral is "partial 28S large subunit ribosomal RNA". Lineage: Eukaryota; Metazoa; Nematoda; Enoplea; Triplonchida; Trichodoridae. The record is from RNAcentral.